GCCAGCCCCUAGCGCAGACGGCGGAGAGCUGGGAUGGAGCGCGCCUUGGCCCGCUGGCCUCGGCUGCAGCUCCUCCCGAGAACCCGGGCGCCCACGCGAGAAUCUCCCCACCUGGGUCUCUCUUCAGCGAUGACAUCACCGGUUCACCUCCUUAUCUUCAAGGACCACCUCUUGAUGCCCAGCUGCUGCCAAGAGGACGCUAGGAGCACUGACUGAUUCCUGGAUCUCACCAGCAUACAAAGCAGCCACUGGCAGAGACCCCUCCCCCCCAGGACCAGGACGAUGGAGGAUGAAGAGGACCAGAACUGACCAGCCGGCUGUUCCUCUUGGCUAUAGGCUUAAAACAAUGCCCUAGUGAGGGGGCAUUGUCGUUAACCCUGACCUUUGCUAUGCUUGUGCCUGUUGCAAUGCAUACUUUCCUGUAAGUCUCUGCUUGUGUUAAUGUGCCAGCAACCUGGAGUGUUUCCCUCCCCAAGAAGGUGUCAGUCUUUCUAAGCUGACCCUAUUGUUGCCCUUAUGAUGUCCGGAACGGAAAGACCCCUUUGGGAACUUCUCAGGAGGGGGACCUGGGCCAAGGGCUCCACCAGCAUCUCACUGGCAAUUCCAAGGCCCAGGUGGGCUUCUGGAAUGAGCAUGAGUCCUGAUGUCAUGCUACUGAACUGCCAAGGGCAUCCCCACGUUUGAGAUCUCCCUAUCCUUUCUGGGGAAUGGGGACGAGAAGUGCAACCUCCCAGGGCUGUUGUGAGUAUUAAAUGAGAUAAAGCAGCCUCGGGCAGGGCCGGGCAUGGAGGAGGCGGUCAGCAAAUGUUUGUUGAAAAAGUUUGCUAGGUCAGUCCAUUCCCACCAUCUCACUGUUCUUACUCCUCUCAUUUGUUCUCCCACAGCACUCGGAAUAGCCCCUGUCCACGGGGCUCUCCUUGCACCAGCCAAGCUUCUUGAAAGGCCUGUCUACACUUGCUGUCUUCCUUCUUCACCUCCAAUUUCCUCUUCAACCCACUGCUUCCUGACUUCUGUACUCCGUCGAACAGCUCUCACUCAGGGACACCUGCUCCUGGCAUCCCUCGUUCUUAGCUUCUUUUAGGAAUUCGCAUAUCCAGAUCACCCAACUUCUGGAACUUUCCUUUUACCAUCUCUCCCUGGAUUUGAGUCCUGGCUAACCCACCUGGUGCUGAGGCCUUGGAGUAGGUAGGUCCGUUUUUCCAAGCCACCUUUUUCUCGGUUGCAAAAUAGGGUUAAAAAUCUUCACCUGGCAGGUCAGGUGGGUUGUCUUGCAAGUGAGAACCAGACACUAUUUGAGGGACUUGAAAUAAGGUCAAUGAAGUACUCAUGAGAAAAUACAAUUAGUCACCAUCAGAUUUUCUUACAGGUUAAGUUCCCACGGGGAAGACCACAGAGAGAAGAAAGAAGUGGAGAGGGGAGGAGGGAAGUGGGAGAGAAAGGAGAAAAGAAUUAAAAAAAGGCCCUUAAACACAAAAAAGUAGGGAAGGGAAACUUAGAAAAUAUUAAAAUCUACCAAAAACACACCCAGAGAAAGGUUUCCUCUUGUGUCGGGUUGGGCUAAAAUAAACAGGAAAAAGGUUUUAAAUUGAUUACCCCAGUGACAAAUCCCAGGAAGCUUUCAAAUCAAAUUGCCCCGUUUUGGGGUUUUAACUCCUUCUAUCAAGUUUAACCUCUUUACCUCCUUCAUCCUGGUUAAACCCUCCCCGGCCCCUUUGCUGGUGAUUAAAUCCUGAAGGUACACGGAGUCUUUCAAUGAAUGAAUGGCCAACAGAAAGAACCCUCCCCCUCCCCCCAGCUGUGUUUUUCAGUUUUAUUCCACUUUCCGCCCUUUUCCUUAAUGAACACAGGGCUAAUCUUGGGCCUUGUCAAGGAAGAGGCUGCAGACGUUAAUGAGCUGGCGGCUGGGUCCCAAUGUUCCUCUCAUAAGGAGCUUUCUUUGUCUGCGAAGGAAAAACACACUGAUUAUCAUAAUGAGUUGAACUGGCGUCUGCUGGGGCAGGGGCGCCGUGGUCCUUAGGCCACACUUCUAAUUUCGGGCUGGAGCUAAGGUUUCAUUUGCUCCUCAUUUAAGUCUUGGCCUGGCCCAUUCAAGGAGGUUGGAGGUUGAAGGCUGUUUUGGGGAAGGGCUGCUUUUGCAGAAAGUUUCUUUGUUGGACCCGCUGCGCAGAUGCAACAGGCCAGGGUGAUGCCUGCCUCUGGGAUUCAUUCUCCAAAAGCUGAGGAAAAAGGGUGCCCGGUUCCGACGCUAGCACGCACAUGACUUGUUUCAGAACCCACGGAACAUUAAAAACUUAAGGUUACCAACUGGUAGACAAGUACCAAGUCACAGGUGUAGAACCCGUGAAAUUAUCACCAAGGGAACACCCAUGUGUUGUUUCAUCCAGGUCAAAAAAUGGAUGGAUAUUUGUGCCCCAGAGGCCCCCAUCCCCAUGGAAGGGCAUGGCUUGGGGUCUACAUUUAGGUCCUGCAUGUUGAGGAGAGAGGUUCAGAGCUAGUGGUUUGUUGGGCAGUGAGCCAAAUGCAGAGGGGACAGACGACUCUGAACCGGCACCAGACCCUGUGGGCACUUGUCCCCUUCAUGUCCUCAUCCCACGUCCUUUGCCCUGUCCCACCUCCUUUCUGUCCUGAUACUUGAAUGUCCCCAAGCCCAUUAAUGUUAGCAGGUAUGGCCUGAGCCUGAAACUUGCUCUUGUGUGUCCCGAGUUCUGGACAUUUGUCAUCCCAAGGCAGACCAGUUAAAUUAGAUCAUUUCAAUUAAACUUCAGGAUCUGGCCAGAUCUUCAACCAAAUGGAAAAAAACUAAGGGGGAAGCGAGGUGGUUGGAGCAAGAAAACUUAGUGGAAAACCUAUGAGCCUCCCUUCCCUCCCUCCCUGUUUCCCUCCCUCCCUCUUUUUUCUGCUAGGGUCCUCUGGCUGCCUGGAUCAGAGUCAGACACUCCAAGUUAGCAAAACCUGCUCUCAUCAAGUACCCCAAUAAAAAACGUCAAAGGGUAUCCACCUUUUGGUGGAGGUGACCCAGAUGUCGACCAGACUAGGGGACGAUGAGGGUGGCACCUCUGAAAAUGGGGCUCCCAUAAAAACUCUUCCGUCCAGUUCUUGGAGAGAGCAGUUCCUGGUUCUAAUUGAGAGAACACAUUUUAAACAGGAAAAAAACCCAUAGGAUCCUUCUCACCUCAAAUACAUAGUGAUAAUUGAAAUACAGGCCUAGGCCCAGGGGGUGGCCGGUUAGCUCAGUUGGUUAGAGCAUGGUGCUGGUAGCACCAAGGUUGCCGGUUCAAUCCCUAUAUAGGCCACUGAGCUGUGCCCUCAAAAAAUUAAAAAUACAGGCCCAAAGUGUCAUCUAUAUUCUAGCAUUUGAGUACCCGGGGAGGGGUGCAAGUCAUGAGUCAGCCGGGGUCUUGUGCUGAAUUCCUGGAGCCCUAACGGCCCAGAUGGGGAAACCCAUCUCCCCACCCCGCGCCUGCUGGGGUUUCUGAAUCAGGCAACCUUAUUUUUCUGAGGCCACCAGCAGAGGGGUCCAAACCUCAUCACUCCCCUGAGUGUAGGGGUGGCUGUUUUAACUUGUCUCCUUGUUUCUGUGGCACCCCAUCUUGUGCCUGUGCACACGAGGACCCUGCAUUCCACUGUUCCAGCCCAGGGGUCCUGGAUGGCUUCCUGAGUUGGCCCCCUGAUGCCCAGAGCCCACUGGUCUCAACAUCUGUCAUUUAGGUGAACCCUGGAGGCUUAGGAGAUUUGGGAAGAUGUGAUUUAAUCAGAUGGGAAACUAGGGAACGAGUGAGGCCCGGAGAUGUGCUCCCUCAUUCUUGAGUUUUUGGCUUUCUACUUUUACUGCUCACCUCUGUGCUCCAUCCUCCCUUCUCUCCCCCUGCACCCCUCCAUCACCAUUUCCUAAUCCGGUCCUCUGGGGGUGCCCUAGGCCAGCCCACACCUCCUUUGGGUGUCCCAGCACCAGCUUGGCACAAAGUGGGGUUCAGUAAGAGUAUGUGGGAUGUAUGUUUGGAUAGGUGAGUCAAUGAAGGAACUUGACUGCCAUACUCAAGUUGCUAGACGGGAGUCAAUGGGCACGCAAGUAGUUAGUUACAGGUCAAAAGGGUGGAGGGUGGAUUUCGUGUUAUUCAGAGGUGUGGGCUUUGCCCCACCUCCCGCCCCAUUUGAGCAGGGGCCCUGCCGGUCUCACCCCUUCAUUCACUCAUGCGUCCAUCCCGUCAUUCAACAGUUGAUCCUUACUGAGCAAGCCCACCGCCCGGCCCCGGGCUUGGCACCCGCCACGCUAGCACGUCCCUUGAUGGCCUCUGCCCCUCGGGAGCGUGGGCCGGGGGGUUGCCUCUGCUGAGGGCGGCCUCAGGGCUGCCCCAGUGCCGGAGCCCACUCCGGCUUUGUAGAAGGCAGGCAGGAUGGUGCGAGGGGCGGGCCUGGUUUGCCUUCCUUUGGCCAGUUGGCCGGUGGCCUUUAAUUCAGACCCUGGAGGAGCCUCGAACCUGCUCAUCUCCAGGGCUCUGCAAGCCAGCCCCUCCUGCCUUCCUUGCCUCCACACCCAUCCCGUAGCUGAGUGCUGACGGCUGUUCCGGGUCCCUGCCCUGGUGGGAGCACAGGAACAGCUGUGGUAUGUGUCCCCUUGGGCUCUGGCCACACAGGUCUCCCUCUUGAGUUGAGGGUCCCGUGAGCUGGACCCCUCCCUCCAUGAUACCUUCCUCCCCCUGGGGCUAAAUCCAACUCCUUUGCCUCCCAGUCAUUGGCUGGGGCCUGUGCCAUGCAAAGCACAGAUGGCUGGGAACCUCCAGGGAGCUCUGUAGGCUCCUCGGCUGCCUGGCUGCCUACCUGCUCUGCUCUACCUGGCAGCUCCUCCCCUGGCUCUCCACCAGCCAGGUUGGUUGACCACCUGGAGCUCUGCUUGCCACAGUCUCUUGCUUGGCCUGACUGACAUCCCCUUUCUCUGUGCCCGAGUCCCCCAGCUCCUUACUCUCUGGGCCUCAGCUGCCCGGCCCUCUGACUCACAGGUUGGUUUUCCUUGCUGAGCCCACACUUGUGUUACUUGGUUCUGCCUGCUGCCUCGUCCACCUACCUAUUUGCCUUUGACCCUGAUGCUGGGUCCAAAUACCCUUCCCCCAGCCCAAGAAGCCUCCCCCCUCAGUGCUGCCCAGGUUGCCAGCAGCUCCCCAGUACCUGUGGGACAAUCCCCUGCUGGCAUGCCACCUCCUCCAACCGUCUUCAAGCGCCUCCUCCCAUGGGCCUGUUCCCAGGGUCCAAGUGACUUUUUGUCCCGCCCCUUCCCCCAGACCCCUUUGUCGUGUCGGAGCAGGUAUUCCCACGGCCUGCCCGUACCCCCACCCUGUCCCUCUGAAUCCUGGGCUCUGCCUGCCCUAGGUCUCAGGUUGGUCUGGGGGCUGCCCCCCGCAGUCCUGUGGCUUCUCUUGCACCUUUUCCUGUCAUCGCUCAGGCCCAUGAGCCACCUUCUUCCACUGAAAACCAAACUUCAGAGGCGACCCCAUCAUCAGCACAGAGGCUGCGACCUGGCCGGCCGGCCGAAGGACUGGAUGGAAGAGGCGGAAGAGCCCCCAGGCGACCAUCGCCCUGGACCAGGCCCUCCUUCCUGACGGUCACCUGGUAUCUCACCUCAGCCCCAUGCCUCUCGCUUCCUUCCUGGUUUGGGACGAAGACUUUGCCCGGAAUCCUUCGUGGGAAGGGACCUCAGACACUGGACCCCAGCACCCUUCACCUGUAAAAUCCCUCCACAGCCACGGGGACGCCCUGCACACGUUCCCGCAGGACAGGCUGGACCCAAAGACUCUGGACUCAGGCCGCCCUCUGCGAGGAGGGGCGUGCCCUCCUCGGCCUCCCCUUCUGACUGAUGGACUUCACUGACCUCAGGGUCAGACGUGCGGGCUUCACCCUGCCCGCUCCUCACGAACCCUGAGACUUAGGGGAGCGGCUGCGCCUGCGACAUCUGCAUCUGUGAACCGGGCUCGGACACCUACCUCACAGGGCUGUUGUGAGAAGCCUGUGAGGCGGUUUGAAAGUGCCCGCCUGGGGCUUGGCACAUCCUGUUGUGCUCUCAAUAAAUGUAUUUUUUGCCUUAACAAACACA
Molecule: long non-coding RNA, 6085 nt
Organism: Rhinolophus ferrumequinum (greater horseshoe bat)
Lineage: Eukaryota; Metazoa; Chordata; Mammalia; Chiroptera; Rhinolophidae
Exons: 8
Source: RefSeq, a predicted model, not a curated record